RNAcentral lists this ribosomal RNA (439 nucleotides) under uncultured bacterium. Its description in RNAcentral is "partial 16S ribosomal RNA". It matches the Rfam family "Bacterial small subunit ribosomal RNA", at positions 339 to 795 of the family's 1533-position model. The record is from RNAcentral.
CUACGGGUCGCUCCAGUGGGGAAUAUUGGACAAUGGGCGCAAGCCUGAUCCAGCAAUGCCGCGUGAGUGAAGACGGCCUUAGGGUUGUAAAACUCUUUCGCUAGGGAAGAUAAUGACUGUACCUAGUAAAGAAGUCCCGGCUAACUCCGUGCCAGCAGCCGCGGUAGUACGGAGGGGACUAGCGUUGUUCGGAAUUACUGGGCGUAAAGAGUUCGUAGGCGGACUGACAAGUUAGAGGUGAAAUCCCAGGGCUCAACCCUGGAACUGCCUUUAAAACUGUCAGUCUAGAGACCGGAAGAGGUUAGGGGAAUACCUAGUGUAGAGGUGAAAUUCGUAGAUAUUAGGUGGAACACCAGUGGCGAAGGCGCCUAACUGGUCCGGUACUGGCGCUGAGGAACGAAAGCGUGGAGAGCAAACAGGAUUAGAUACCCUGGUAGUC